AAAGUUUGGGAUUCCCAGUCUACAAAACCCCACAGCUCCUAGGAAUUCUCUCACCACCCUUGUGCCUUUAGGCUUCGGUAGAUUGCAAAUGACCUGCUUUCUUUCGGAUCCCGGGCUGCUUUCGGACACCUGUCGAAUAGUAAAUCCCAAGUAAGGUACCUGCGGUCGUCGGCAGAUCUGAAUUUUCUUCUUGGACACCUAAUACCCACAGCCCUCCAGAGACCGAGAGGUUGAUGUCACUCCCAAUAUCGGAGGAAGUAUACACCCCCGUGUGAGAUGGUCCUUAAUAAUAUUCCACGGCGGAGGGGGUGAUAUGACUACAUACAUGGCAGAAAGUGGAAACCUCCCAGGGAUAUUGUUCCCACGAUCCUGGAGGGAAGAAGAUGAUGUUACUUUCAAUAUGACAGAAGGUGGAUGAAGUGGUGGACUGCCCCUCCACACCUGUGGACACGCCCCCACUGAUAUUCCUUCUAAUUGCAGCGUGGGAGAGGAGGAUAUGACACGCGAUAUCGCAGGGAGUAGAAACACCCCUGUGAUACUGUUCUUAAUAUUCAGGGAGGAAGAGGAUGAUAUUACUCCCAAUACAGACGGGUGUACACCCUCUGUACACCGAGGGUGUACACCUGUCUGUGAAAGAGUUCUUAAUCUCCAGAGGGGGAGAUGAUAUUACUCACAAUAUGGUAAAGAGGCUGUGAGUCCACGGAGGAUCCUCAGAGCCAGCGGGGGAAGAGGGGCUGGCUCUCAGUCCCCGCCUCGCGGGGGUGACUCCCCCCAGUGCGAUGGGGGUCCUAAGAGCCAGUGGGGGAAGAGGGGCUGGCUCUGAGACCCCGCCUCGCGGGGGGUGCCUCCCCGCCCUGUGAUGGGGGUCCCAAGAGCCAGAAGGCUUAGAGGGGCUGGCUCUCAGUCCCCGCCUCGCGGGGGGUGCCUCCUCCCCCUGCGAUGGGGGUCGUAAGAGCCACUGGGGGAAUAGGGGCUUGCUCUCAGUCACCGCCUCGCGGGGGGUGCCUCCUUUCCUUUCUACAUAGACACAGUGACAGUCUGAUCUCUCUUUCUUUUCCCUACAGAUGGACACGCCCCCACUGAUAUUGUUUUUAAUGCAGCGUGGGAGGGGAGGAUAUGACACGCGAUAUCGCAGGUAGUAGAAACACCCCUUUGAUAGUGUUCUUAAUAUUCAGGGAGGAAGAAGAUGAUGUUACUCCCAAUACAGACGGAUGUACACCCUCUGUACACCGAGGGUGUACACCCGUCUGUGAAGGAGUUCGUAAUCUCCAGAGGUGGAGAUGAUAUUACUCACAAUAUGGUAAACAGGCUGCGAGUCCAUCGCGGAUCCUCAGAGCCAGGUGGGGAAGAGGGGCUGGCUGUCAGUCCCCUCCUCGCGGGGGGUGCCUCCCCCACUGCUAUGGGGAUCCCAAGAGCCAGUGGGGGAAGAGGUGCUGGCUCUCAGUCUCCGCCUCGCGAGGUGCCUCCCCACCCUGCGAUCGGGGUCCGAAGAGCCAGGGGGGAAGAGGGGCUGGCUCUCUUCGUGGAUGAUUCUUUUUCCAUUCUCAGGCAGUUUUCUUUUUUCUUUCUUUCUUUUUUUUUUUUUUGAGACUGAGUCUUGCUCUGUUGCCCAUGCUUUGCUCGAUCUCGGGUGACUGCAACCACUGCCUCCCAGGUUCAAGAGAUUCUCCUGCCUCAGCCUCCUGAGUAGCUGGGACUAGAGGCGUGUGUCACCACACCCAGCUAAUUUUUGUAUUUUUAGUAGAGAUGGGGUUUCACCAUGUUUGCCAGGAUGGUCUUUAUCUCCUGCCCUUGUGAUCCACCCACCUCAGCCUCCCAAAGUGCUGGGAUUGCAGGUGCGAGCCACCGGGUCCAGCCUCUCAGGCGAUUUUCAUACCUGCAUACUCUGAUCACUACUCUGUUAAACAGUCAAGGAGGGUAAGUAUUAUCUUCAGAUUUCCAGAGCUCUGUCUCUGUACAGCCCUCUCCUCCUCAAUAUUCUGCCCUAUGAAUUCUAGCCACAUUGGCCUUCCCAGGCUCACAGUUCUGUCUUCUCAACUCAGGAAGAUCUCUGAGUUCCAUCUGCAUUCUUUCUUCCUGUGCUGUGGCCUGGAAAGUUUUCUAAGGUGUUAGGGAGGUCAAUUGUGGGGCUAGCCUCAUUUGUUUCUCAUCUCUUGAGGAUCACUGCCCUUUGAUGCUUGAUUCCAGUGAUUGAUUCCCUUUGUUGCUUGAGGGCCAUAGUUUCAUAUAUUUUGUCCAGUAGUUUUGUUGUUUUAGGUCAGAAAGUAAUUUUGGUCUCUGUUACUCUAUCUUGGCCAGAAGUGUAAGACCUAAGCAUUUACACAUCAAAAUACUGCACACAUAAUUUUAGUUUAAGCUACUUUUUAAAAAAUCUCCUUCAUUUUCCAUUUAGCAUUCUAUUUAGGGUAUUACAUUGGUUUUUUUGAAAUUCUGUUAUUGGCAGUUUCUAUUGCCUAUCAAUCCCAUUUAAAGAUAGUGCAUAGGGUAUUCUAAAAUAGCUGUUAAGCAAAGAGAAAAUUGGGCCUGAUAGGGUGAGAAUCACAGCUCUAAUACCUAGAGUGACCUUAUAAUGUAUUGUCCAAAGGAGAUAUUUUUGACAGUGAAAGAGGGUGUUGUUAGUAAUUAUAUCAGGACCAUGGCCUAAACCAGGACUAUCCCAGGAAGCCUGGGACAUAUUUGUACCCCAUCUCUAUUUAAUGCCUUUAUACAAUUCUUUACUUAAUUCUACCAGCCUUUAUUGAGCCUGCUUUCUUUGUCUAGCUGAGUGCCACGUGCUGACGUCACUAAGAUCAAUACAGCAAACUCUGAAAGAUGGACAGAGAGACAGGAGAUGGUCCUUUAUAAUGCAGUGUGAUCUGUGCUGCAAUAGAGUUUUGGAAGCUAGAAGUUCAAAACGAGGUGUUGGCAGCACCAUGCUCUCUCUGAAGAUGCUAGGAAGAAUCUGCUCCAUGCCUUUCCAUUCGCUCCUGGGGUUUCCUGCAAGCCCUGACAUUCCUUGGCUUGUAGAUGCAUCACCCCAGUUUCCGCCCCCAUCAUCACAUGGCCUCCUCUCUGUGUGUGCCUCUGCGUUCCCUCUAUUCUUCUUCUAAGGACACCGACACCAGUCAUAGUGGAUUAAGGGUCCACUCCUAACCAAUUACAUCUGCAACAACCCUAUUUCCAAAUAAAGUCACAUUCUAAG
RNAcentral lists this long non-coding RNA (3181 nucleotides) under Homo sapiens (human). RNAcentral's name for it is "HSALNT0149796". The record is from RNAcentral. Lineage: Eukaryota; Metazoa; Chordata; Mammalia; Primates; Hominidae.